Molecule: non-coding RNA, 1468 nt
Organism: Triticum urartu
Lineage: Eukaryota; Viridiplantae; Streptophyta; Magnoliopsida; Poales; Poaceae
Source: RefSeq, a predicted model, not a curated record
AAGCGCGGCGACCGUGCCAACCAGCAUCAGCACCACAUCAGCGGCGUCCGCGUUCUUGAACAGGUCAUGGAACGACGCCUUACCACCCUUGGUCAUCUUCUUCCUGCCUUUCUCUUCCUCUUCUCCACCCUUGACUCCACCAUCAGCUCUUGCAUUAUUUGUUUCUCCCAUGCUAUGCCUACCAGGUAAUUGACUAGCGCCGUGUGUCUAUUGCUCUAGCUGCUGAGUGAACUUCUGCUUUUAUAGUGUCAUUGUCUUGUUAGUUCACAGGUAAGUCCAUUCACAAGAGCAACCAUAAAGUUAGAUGUGGUUGACAGUUGGGUAAAAAACGGAAAAUGACACAGAUAAAUGUGUCAACAAGGUGCGAUGCCAACCUAAAGACGAGUAGGAUAACAAAACUGGCCACAAGAGCUGCAUAUCCUAUUCGCUCACCCUUCGGAGUGCACUCCUUCACAGAUGACCUUUUCCCAUUUGAGUCAGUAACUCACCAUGAUUUUUUGUUUUUGCUGGAUUUUUAACAUUAGAUUUCAACUUCAAACACAAAAGCUGUUUGAAGGAACCUGUCUCUCUUUUUCUUUGUUCACUAUCCUCUUCUUCUAUUGCUUCUCAAGUUUUUCUCUGUUUUUUACUCUCAAGUACAUGCAGCUGUCUAAAUAAUACAUAGACUGAGUAAACAUUUGAGAAUUAUGAAGUAACAAAAUCCCCAGAGCUUUCAUUGCACUCGCCAUGGUGGUGAAAUAAUUUAUGUACCGAUCGGUUUCAGUGCCAGAACCACUAGUAGAAAGUGCUUGAAUGAUGUUAGGAGUGCACCCUUAAUUAAAGGCUGUCUUUGUCCUGCAGACCCAAACUGAUUCAACAUUGUGAAACCAGAUCUUCUUCGCCGGGAAAGCGACGGCCGAUGAAAACCCCUCUUCCUUGACAGCGGCUGGCCUAGGGGUAAACUCUGCCGAUAAUUUUAAUGCGAGGAGCUGUUUUUUUUGCAGGUGUCCACAUCAGAGGAUGACUAGGACACUUGGUGCAUCAGCUCGGUCGUACGCAUCGGCUUGGCUGCGUCAGCUCAGAUGAGCUUAGUAGGCCUUGUCUUGCCUGGCAGUGGCAGGAGGUAUCGCAGGGUGUUCAGCGCCCAGAUUUGUAGCUAGUCGCUCGCGCCACGAUGGCGAUCUGGCAGCUGCUGGAGUGAGCCAAAUGGAAGAUCCCGGGGGACCUGAGCGUUUGGAUGCUUGGAGCAUCAGCUCUGUUCGGAUGUGUGUGAGAGCUUCUGCAAAUGGCAUGGCCUGGCCCCGCUCUCUUUUUGUUCUUAUCCUGCUUAUGCAGAUUAGGGAUAGCGUGUAGGACCUAAGUAGGGGUACUGUGUAUUUCUAUAUUUUUUUAUUAGAGGAGUGUAUUUGUAUUUGUUUCUGGCCGAAGAUAUAUACUACUGCUUCAUUGAUUAUGUUUGUAUUGCAAAGAAAAUCUCACAUCCAAAUUA